GAUGCUGCUCAUGUGAAGGGCGCUUCUGACACUGGCCCUCAGAAGGCCAUGGGCUCACCAAGGGCUGCCAGUUCGCAGAAGUCCCUCACCUUUGUUCCACACCUGCUGACUUUCUAAACUUCUGUCCUCUGGACUGUGCUAGGUACACAUGACAGCACCUUGGCAGCCAUGUCUUUCAGAGCCCCAUUAUGCGAUGCCAUGGCCCUAGAAGCAGAAGGAACCAUCAAAGAACCAGGCUAAAGGACUUUGGGACCAACAGGCAUUCAGGAAUGUGCCUGGCCAGGAGCUAAGGGGCCACCAGCUGACAAGAGUUGCCACCAGACACGCCAGGUAGAAGAUGUCAGCUGGCAAUGGCCAUGCCGGCCUAAGAUACCUCUGUGGAGUGAACAAUGUAGCCCAGAAGAGCCAGCACAGAUCCCUCCCACCUAUCAGCCCUGUCUUCCCCCAUCUUGAUGCAUGUCCCAGUAUGAUUCUCAGUGGCCAUUGGAAUAUUGCAGUUGCAAGCAAAGGUGACUUCAGCUGGGGGAUUUGUCACUCGCUUUCGUGUGAAGAGACCACCAAACAGGCUUUGUGUGAGCAAUAAAGCCUUUUAAUCACCUGGAGUCUUACUGAAGACCGUAAAUGGAGGUCUACAGCCCAGGAGCAGCCCCCUAGAGAAGUUCCAUCAGACAAUUCUGAAACAGGGCUUCAGCCAACAGUUUAUAUAUGAAGUGUGGAGGUUCAGUAUGUGCAAAAUCACAUCACACUUGCUCGGAAAUUACAGUAAAGCAGAAGCACGUGAAGGUUUGGGUGUAAGAAUCCACCUGGUUAUAGAUGACAGAAGCAUCAUCACUAACCCCAGCAGGCAUCAUCUUAUGUGCAGCAGGAAGCAGGGACUAGGAUGGUUUAUCUUUUAAGGAACAUGGUGGCUCAGGCCAGAGACGUGGGGGCCGUGCGGCACUCUAUCUUGUUUUGUCUUCAAAGCGUCUUUCCGGAGAGCUGCAUGUUGUUGCAGAGUCAGGGGCAUUGUGAGAUUCCGCUGCAAGCAGGCAAGAGCACACAGGCUUCUCACCAUUGCUACUUUGUCUCACACUAGCACAUAACCCCACCAUGCUUUCCCCUUUCUUUAAUUUUGUUUUAAAACAAAAUUAAAGCAAUGAUAUUUGCAGAGGUGAUUUCCAAACUAUUUGGUCUCAUGGGCUCUCCACCCUGGACUGGU
This is a long non-coding RNA of Gorilla gorilla gorilla (western lowland gorilla), 1198 nucleotides long. RefSeq lists it as uncharacterized. NCBI's taxonomy places the organism in Eukaryota, Metazoa, Chordata, Mammalia, Primates, Hominidae. The record is from RefSeq and is a predicted model, not a curated record. The transcript has 3 exons.